This 58-nucleotide microRNA precursor is filed under the name Lingula anatina. RNAcentral describes it as "Lan-Mir-216-P1f_pre stem-loop". The record is from RNAcentral. Lineage: Eukaryota; Metazoa; Brachiopoda; Lingulata; Lingulida; Lingulidae.
AAAUAUCAGCUGGUAAUUCUGGGCUCUUAAUUUGCUCAGAAUUCUAUCUGGUAUUGGG